GACGAACGCUGGCGGCGUGCUUAACACAUGCAAGUCGAACGGCAAGGCCCUGCUUGCAGGGUCCUCGAGUGGCGAACGGGUGAGUAACACGUGGGUGAUCUGCCCUGCACUUCGGGAUAAGCCUGGGAAACUGGGUCUAAUACCGGAUAGGAGCCAUUUUUAGUGUGAUGGUUGGAAAGUUUUUUCGGUGUAGGAUGAGCUCGCGGCCUAUCAGCUUGUUGGUGGGGUAAUGGCCUACCAAGGCGGCGACGGGUAGCCGGCCUGAGAGGGUGGACGGCCACAUUGGGACUGAGGUACGGCCCAGACGCCGACGGGAGGCAGAAGGGGGGAAGAUUGAACCAGGGGUGCAAGCCUGAUGCAGCGAGGCCGCGUGGGGGAUGACGGCCUUCGGGUUGAAAAAUACUUUCGCUAGGGACGAAGCUUUUUGUGACGGUACCUAGAUAAGAAGCACCGGCUAACUACGUG
This 465-nucleotide ribosomal RNA is filed under the name uncultured bacterium. Its description in RNAcentral is "partial 16S ribosomal RNA". It matches the Rfam family "Bacterial small subunit ribosomal RNA", at positions 28 to 507 of the family's 1533-position model. The record is from RNAcentral.